Orcinus orca (killer whale) is the source of this 1363-nucleotide long non-coding RNA. RefSeq lists it as uncharacterized. NCBI's taxonomy places the organism in Eukaryota, Metazoa, Chordata, Mammalia, Artiodactyla, Delphinidae. The transcript has 2 exons. The record is from RefSeq and is a predicted model, not a curated record.
CAGAAACUAUCAAACUCUUAGAGGAAAACAUAGGCAGAACACUCUGACAUAAAUCACAGCAAGAUCCUUUUUGACCCACCUCCUAGAGAAAUGGAAAUAAAAACAAAAAUAAACAAACGGGACCUAAUGAAACUUCAAAGCUUUUGCACAGCAAAGGAAACCAUAAACAAGAUCAAAAGACAACCCUCAGAAUGGGAGAAAAUAUUUGCAAAUGAAGCAACUGACAAAGGAUUAAUUUCCAAAAUUUACAAGCAGCUCAUGCAGCUCAAUAUCAAAAAAAAACAAACAACCCAAUCCAAAAAUGGGCAGAAGACCUAAACAGACAUUUCUCCAAAGAAGAUAUACAGACUGCCAACAAACACAUGAAUGGGCAGAAGACCUAAACAGACAUUUCUCCAAAGAAGAUAUACAGCCUGCCAACAAACACAUGAAAGAAUGCUCAACAUCAUUAAUCAUUAGAGAAAUGCAAAUCAAAACUACAAUGAGAUAUCAUCUCACACCAGUCAGAAUGGCCAUCAUCAAAAAAGUCUAGAAACAAUAAAUGCUGGAGAGGGUGUGGAGAAAAGGGAACACUUCUGCACUGCUGGUGGGAAUGUGAAUUGGUUCAGCCACUAUGGAGAACAGUAUGAAGGUUCCUUAAAAAACUACAAAUAGAACUACCAUAUGACCCAGCAAUCCCACUACUGGGCAUAUACCCUGAGAAAACCGAAAUUCAAAAAGAGUCAUGUACCAAAAUGUUCAAUGCAGCUCUAUCUACAAUAGCCUGGAGAUGGAAACAACCUAAGUGUCCAUCAUCAGAUGAAUGGAUAAAGAAGAUGUGGCACAUAUAUACAAUGGAAUAUUACUCAGCCAUAAAAAGAAACGAAAUUGAGAUAUUUGUAAUGAGGUGGGUAGACCUAGAGUCUGUCAUACAGAGUGAAUUAAGUCACAAAGAGAAAGACAAAUACCGUAUGCUAACACAUAUAUAUGGAAUUUAAGAAAAAAAUGUCAUGAAGAACACAGGGGUAAGACAGGAGUAAAGACGCAGACCUACUAGAGAAUGAACUUGAGGAUAUGGGGAGGGGGAAGGGUGAGCUGUGACAAAGCGAGAGAGUGGCAUGGACAUAUAUACACUAACAAACGUAAAACAGAUAGCUAGUGGGAAGCAGCCGCAUAGCACAAGGAGAUCAGCUCUGUGCUUUGUGACCACCUAGAGGGGUGGGAUAGGGAGGUGGGAGGGAGGGAGACGCAAGAGGAAAGAGAUAUGGGAAUAUAUGUAUAUGUAUAUGUAUAACUGAUUCACUUUGUUAUAAAGCAGAAACUAGCACACCACUGCAAAGCAAUUAUACUCCAAUAAAGAUGUAAAAAAAAAGAAGAAGAAGAA